UGACUGUUGGAAGAAUUCGUCAAUUCAGACUGGCGCAAAGAGCUAUCAGGGCGCGAUGCCAGGAAUUUCAUUGCGAGACAGAAUUCGAAAUGAGGAUAUUCGCCAACGCAAUAAAGUUACCGACAUUGCAAAAAGGAUUAACUCAAGUGGGAAUGGACCGGCUAUAUUUUUCGCAGAGAUGACGAUCAAUGGGGUCGCCUAGUAUUGCUGUGGAGACCUAGCCUGGGUGGCCGAGGUGGCGGGAAACCACGAGCAGAUGGUCGGAUGACACAUAUAGAACGGAGUGGAAACCCACGGAAUGCAGACCAGGAUCAUAUACUUUAGGUAUGAGUUUGUUACUUUUGCUCAUAAUAACAUGGAGUAUGUCACAGCUGCUCCACGGGCUGCAUUGAAGGGCAACAGGAGCGAAAAUGGAAAGGAGCUCCCCUUUCAAUUAGAGAAUCUUAGGAUAUGCUAAGGCAAACAGAAGGAGGCAAGGAACAGGACUGCAUCAAUUGCUGUUUGGAACCAAUCUUGUGGGAUGACUUCUGGACAGGGAAAAAACAAUUUCAUCAUCUACCCUAAUACUGACGAAUGUUCUAAAACGUGCUGUAAGGCAGACAUUUCCAAAUGUAACGGAGGAAAGUUUCGAGACAUGUAAUGGUUUCAACACGCUGCUGAGACCCAACUCAAGAGACGUCAGUUUGUACUGUUUUGUCCAUUCUCUAUUGGGCAUGCUUGUAUGGAGAGGUAUAUAUAUUGGAGUACAGACAUGGUGUUUGGUAUGAGUAUUAUAUACAUCCUCUUGAGUCAAAGAGGACCGGUAGCCACUUUGAACUCCGUGUCCGAAAGGGUCAAAGUAUGGAGCUCCCGGUACUCAGAAAAAAAAUUCUGGUCUAUUAGUUUUGAACUUUCGAGUCAAGUUUGGUGUCAUUUUUAUGUAAACUGUUCGCUUCAUUUUUAAAUUGAAGAAGAUUAAAAAUCACAGUAAUAUUAUUAAGGCAAAAGUUUGUGAGCAUACUGUGUUUGUUACUUCCUCACGCCACGCCCAAGUGCCUUAACAAAUAUUAUUUAUAAAAUUAAGUAUGGAGGAAGUAAGAUAUACCCUAAGUUAACACGUCGCUUCUUCUUGAUCGUGGGUAACACUCGGGGCGCAGUAUAAUGAUUAUUAAAAAUCUUUAUGCUGUCCCCUAUGCUGCGAUGGCGAUCGUUGCAGUACUUUCAAUA
Long non-coding RNA from Leguminivora glycinivorella, 1206 nucleotides. RefSeq lists it as uncharacterized. The transcript has 4 exons. Lineage: Eukaryota; Metazoa; Arthropoda; Insecta; Lepidoptera; Tortricidae. The record is from RefSeq and is a predicted model, not a curated record.